ACCGAGCUUGGUUGCGCGGGCUUGUAACCCAAGUGGAGGCAUUAAAGUGGUGUGGAUGUUUGGGUGCGGAGGGCUUGGGUCCAUUGUAUGCCCUUGCUGGCCCUGCCCGUUCCAAGUUGGUAGUGGCUGUUUGUCCAAGCGAAAGCUCAGGCUUCACUGGACCUGGAGUGGUAGGAACGGCGUGAGGCAGGGUUCACAGAGCAGCGAUCACUACCCGCUUCCAAUGGUGGAAGGAUAACAGGCCGCUACAUCACAAGCCCGACCUGGACCUCGAGGAGCCGACAGCGAGGAUCA
This 294-nucleotide signal recognition particle RNA is filed under the name Setaria italica (foxtail millet). RNAcentral describes it as "SRP RNA Plant_SRP". It matches the Rfam family "Plant signal recognition particle RNA". The record is from Rfam by way of RNAcentral. Lineage: Eukaryota; Viridiplantae; Streptophyta; Magnoliopsida; Poales; Poaceae.